AUGGAGAAAAUUCAAGCACAGUC
Molecule: non-coding RNA, 23 nt
Filed under: Arabidopsis thaliana (thale cress)
Lineage: Eukaryota; Viridiplantae; Streptophyta; Magnoliopsida; Brassicales; Brassicaceae
Source: RNAcentral